UGGUUUACUUUGAAUUUCUCCCCCAUAUAUAUCCUCUUUACACACUUGCAAACCUUCAAUUCUUCUUCCCCAAUCUCUGAAAUCUUAUCUCCGGGCUAAUAACUUCACCGAGGGGGCACCUCUUCAAAUCUCAAAUUUCAUCAACACUCUGUUUCCGACCAGCCAAAAAACAGAGCAUAUAUUGAAUCUGUCUCUGUUGAUUCAGAAAUCGAUUGAAUUUUUUUUGCAAGAGAGAUCAAAAACCCGUAUUGGUUUUAAAUCAGUUGAUGUGCUUAAAGGUGGCGGACCAACAAGGCGGCGGAGGUGGCGGCGGGAGAGGCGGAGGCGGG
RNAcentral lists this long non-coding RNA (329 nucleotides) under Linum usitatissimum (flax). RNAcentral describes it as "long non-coding RNA (LUSI_LNC005499)". The record is from RNAcentral. Lineage: Eukaryota; Viridiplantae; Streptophyta; Magnoliopsida; Malpighiales; Linaceae.